Molecule: ribosomal RNA, 455 nt
Filed under: uncultured organism
Description: bacterial SSU rRNA
Rfam family: Bacterial small subunit ribosomal RNA
Source: RNAcentral
GUGCAGCACGCGAGAAUUUUUCUCAAUGGGGGAAACCCUGAAGGAGCGACGCCGCGUGGAGGAUGAAGGCUUUCGGGUUGUAAACUCCUGUCAUUUGGGAACAAGUGGCCGAACAUAACUGCUUCGGCCUUGAUAGUACCAGAAGAGGAAGAGACGGCUAACUCUGUGCCAGCAGCCGCGGUAAUACAGAGGUCUCAAGCGUUGUUCGGAUUCAUUGGGCGUAAAGGGUGCGUAGGUGGCGCCAUAAGUCGGGUGUGAAAUCUCGGGGCUUAACUCCGAAACUGCAUUCGAUACUGUGGUGCUUGAGGACUGGAGAGGAGACUGGAAUUCAUGGUGUAGCAGUGAAAUGCGUAGAGAUCAUGAGGAAGACCAGUGGCGAAGGCGGGUCUCUGGACAGUUCCUGACACUGAGGCACGAAGGCCAGGGGAGCAAACGGGAUUAGAUACCCCUGUAGU